This 254-nucleotide ribosomal RNA is filed under the name uncultured bacterium. Its description in RNAcentral is "partial 16S ribosomal RNA". It matches the Rfam family "Bacterial small subunit ribosomal RNA", at positions 524 to 776 of the family's 1533-position model. The record is from RNAcentral.
UACGUAGGGGGCAAGCGUUGUCCGGAUUUAUUGGGCGUAAAGAGCUCGUAGGCGGUGUGUCGCGUCGGCCGUGAAAACCUGCAGCUUAACUGUGGGCUUGCGGUCGAUACGGGCAUCACUGGAGUUCGGCAGGGGAGACUGGAAUUCCUGGUGUAGCGGUGAAAUGCGUAGAUAUCUGGAGGAAUACCGGUGGCGAAGGCGGCAUCCUGGACCGGCAUUGACGCUGAUGAGCGAAAGCUAGGGGAGCAAACGGG